Molecule: long non-coding RNA, 776 nt
Organism: Haliotis rubra (blacklip abalone)
Lineage: Eukaryota; Metazoa; Mollusca; Gastropoda; Lepetellida; Haliotidae
Exons: 3
Source: RefSeq, a predicted model, not a curated record
AUCCAAAAGUCAUCACAAAACACAAAAAGUUGAACGAUUUUACCAUUCUUCACCCCAAGAGGCAAAACAUUUCUAACAAAUAAUCAUAACAUAAGAACUAGAGAGGUUUCACCAUUCUACAUCCCAAAGGGCAAUAUUCACAAGUCAUCAUAACACAAGAAUUAGAGAUGUUUCGCUAUUCUUCAUCCCAAAAGGCAAUAUUCACAAGUCAUUAAAGCACAAGAACUAGCACGGUUUUACCAUUCUUCACCCCAUAGGGCAAUUUUCACAAGUCAUCAUAACACAAGAAUUAGAGAUGCUUCGCUAUUCUUCAUCCCAAAAGGCAAUAUUCACAAGUCAUUAAUUCACAAGUCAUUAAAGCACAAGAACUAGAACGGUUUUACUAUUCUUCACCCCAAAAGGCAAUAUUCAAAUGUCAUCAUAACACAAGAACUAGAGAGGUUUCACCAUUCUACAUCCCAAAGGGCAAUAUUCACAAGUCAUCAUAACACAAGAAUUAGAGAUGUUUCCCUAUUCUUCAUCCCAAAAGGCAAUAUUCACAAGUCAUUAAAGCACAAGAACUAGAACGGUUUUACCGUGGUACAUCCAAAAGGGCAAUAUCCAAAAGUCAUCACAAAACACAAAAAGUUGAACGAUUUUACCAUACUUCACCCCAAGAGGCAAAACAUUUCUAACAAAUAAUCAUAACAUAAGAACUAGAGAGGUUUCACCAUUCUACAUCCCAAAGGGCAAUAUUCACAAGUCAUCAUAACACAAGAAUUAGAGAUGUUUCGCUA